Molecule: long non-coding RNA, 534 nt
Organism: Brienomyrus brachyistius
Lineage: Eukaryota; Metazoa; Chordata; Actinopteri; Osteoglossiformes; Mormyridae
Exons: 3
Source: RefSeq, a predicted model, not a curated record
CCCCCCUAUAAAUGGACGUGGUUCGACUCUGCUGUCCUCAGUUUAGCUGCAGGAGCGACACUGAUCUUCACAGACAUCCAGUGGAAUCAUGAAGUCCCAUCAGAUCUCUGCCUUCUGCCUCCUGAUGACAGUGCUGCUGUCCUCCUCUCUGGCUCAAUAUCGCUAUGGACUAGGUCAGUGCUGUUUUACAUACUUUACUGGAAGACUGAGGAUGGACCAGAUAACUGGAUAUGAAGAGACCAGAGCAGGCUGUGCUAAACCGGGAAUUAUACUUUACACCAAAAAGGACAAAGAACUGUGUGUCGAUCCCAGCAAUCGCUGGGUUCAGAACGUGAAGCAGAAGCUGGAUCAGCAGUAACGCCUCCUGUCUGCCUGGCAAAACACGAAGAAUGAAUUUUAUUACAUUUAAACUUCUGCUGUAAUUCUCAUAUAACAUUACUUUCUGUCAUCAUCAAAAUCAUUUUAACUUUUGCUGCAUUUUAUACUUCAAUAUGUUUAGCUUAUAUAUUUUUAAAACAGCAGUGAAUUGUCAGU